AUGUCUUCACCGCCGCCAAGCCCGUCUCUUCCGCUGCCGGUCACCUCGUCGCCUCCGGCGACCACCACGACCGUCGCCCCGCUCCUGCCCGCGCCAAGAUCCUCCGUCACGCCCGCCCCCGCCGUCCUCACCCCGGAGGAGGUGCUCGGGGUGCUGCGGGACCUAACCCAGGCGGUCCAGGAGAUCCACCUGUUAUUGGCCGGGUCCUACGGGCCGCACCCGGCUGUGUCACCCAUCGUCGCCCCCGCGCCGCCGUGGCUGCCGUGGCAGCCGCUGCAGCUGCCAUCCAUCGCCACCACCGCCCAGCCCUGGCUGCAGCGGCAGCCGCCGCUCCUGGCGGCCUCUGCUGCGCCCGGCGCUCCGCCGCUCCGCCGCAGCAGCCGCUGUUGCUGCCCGGCGCGACACCGCAGCAGCCAUCGCCAGUCAGCUCCGCCGCCCAGUAUGGAUGCCCUACGACGGGACAGCGAUGACCUCGUUCCCAUCAGCGCCGCCGCCAUCCCAGGGCGUCCACAUCCAGCAGAUCAAGUCCCCGCCGUCACCGUCACCGCUUCCGUCUUGGAUCGCUACGUGUCGGCGGCGGUGAGGCUGCAGGCUGCUGCACGCGGCCUCCUAGCGUGUCGGCGUGUGCGGGAGAUGCGUGGUCUGCAGCUGCCGCUCCUCCAAGUUGUCCUUUACUGCGCAAAGGACCUCACUCCGUCCGCUGCAUCGGGGAUCUUGGGCAUGCUGUUUUCCCCGCGGGCAGCAACCUCAAAAUCUGCGACAUCGGCGGUUGGGGGGGCGCACCCCUCCUCGUCAUUCUCCAUCGCAAGCCCUCCACUCUUCUCUGUGCGGUGCGGACCAACAGCCGUCCGGCGGGAAGGAGGGGUGUCACAGACAGGAGCGCACCGUGUAGCACCACUGCAAUCAGCCACCGGCCGCCGCGAGGGCGCCUCUGCUGGUCACUCUUGCGAACACUUCCAGGUGGCCAUUCACAUGCACUCCUUUUGUCCAGGUGGUGUCCAUGGGAUCCAGGUGGCUCUACACGUGCACGUCCGACGUGCGGAUGGUGUCCACUUUUUGUUAAGGGGUCCAAAAUAA
This 1077-nucleotide ribosomal RNA is filed under the name Triticum aestivum (bread wheat). Its description in RNAcentral is "partial small subunit ribosomal RNA". The record is from RNAcentral. Lineage: Eukaryota; Viridiplantae; Streptophyta; Magnoliopsida; Poales; Poaceae.